UGGGCCCUGCGAGGCACUGAAGCUGAACACUGAGCUCUCUUGAGAGUCGUCUACAUCCUGCCAUGUAUCAGGCAAACCUGCCAGCUGCCGUCACCGAAUUCAACAAGGACGGAAUGUGAAGAAGAGAUGAGGAGACCAGCAGCGUGCAUCUUUAUUGGGAAAUAACUGCGCGGGCUGAGGCCCACGCCUGCCCUGAACAACAAAGCUGGCAGUCGCGUUGUGACUGAUGAGAACCAACCAGGAAGCGAAUGUGGGUAACUGCGUCAUCCUUUCCAAACGUCUGUAUUUUUGCCCGUCCAUGCUACAACGCAGCCCCGGAGAUUUCAAACUAAAAAGGGGCGAGCAGUGUUUGCAAACUUCUCCGUUUCACGCUUCGACACGAAAACGUAGCAAUGUGGAUGUAGCGACAGCAGCAUAUGUAGGAUGUCUGUGCGGAGCAACUCUGGAACAUCUGCAGAUACAGAGCAAGAAAGUGUUUACCACACAAAGACAAGAAGUCGAGUGAUACAAACCCCAUGCUCUUCUGUCUGAAGUGUGCAGUAAUACGUUGGCUAUUAGCUGACUGUAUUGGUGUGCUUACAUAAUUCUUUUAUUAUGUACACAGUUUGAACUUUGCUGGCUCGAGGUCUGUACAAGACAAUUUAUCAUAAUUAUCGCCAAUCAGUCACAGUUUAUUAAUCUGGCAUAGAUUAUAUACCCUAAAACACAUCUUUAUCUGAUUUAACCCAAAAUUGAAAAGAAUGUUUUGAUUCCAGCUGCGCCUAUGAAAGAAGAAAAGAAAUCAGAAUGACCACAUGAGAAUAGAUAAUAUAUCAGUAACAACAAAGUACUCACUGUCAGAAGUUUGAUUUUCUCACAACCUUCCAAAACAGAAAACAUUAAACUAGCGAUGUGCAUGAAAACCCCUGAAGUUUUGAUGGUAGCUUGUCCACCACUUCCACUUCUACACACUGUUAAUCUGCUCUGCUAUGUUCUCAGCCGACUCAUUUAAUCCCCUGCGGAAAUACCUCUGGCUCUUUCCAUUCACCAUUUCUCCAUGGACACACUGUUAAAGGGUCCUCAUAACAAGAAAACUGCUGCUGUCAUGACUUCUACAUAAUGGGCCAGAAUGGUAAGUUAUGCUCAAAUUUUGUUUAGUAAUAAUGGUGAUAUGCUGUUUCCGUAUUAGCGGAUAGAAAAGUGUCAAGUGUUAAUGUGAUUGACAUUAUUCACCAGAUAUGAUUAUUGAAAAACUGGUUCAAAUACAGGCCAUCUGUCUGCUGUAGUAACACUGACAUGGUUUCUACACAGCAGGUAGGAAAAUGAGAGUGCAAACGCCUACUGUUCAACUAGGUCCAUACAAUAGUUCAAUAAUUGUUGCAACAAACAUUGGAUCAGAUUUUAGCAAUAAAAGCCAAAGAGAAAACAGUUUGUGUGUUUGUUUAGUGCUUACGAAAAAACGGAAAUGAAAUUUUAUUUAAACUGGUUCCUUGAUAAAGCAGAUAAUAAUCCGCAACUAUGCUUUAGUCUAUCAAUGUUAAUUAAAUCUAAACUACCAAGGGCUCCAUUAGGAUGUAAGAUCACUUCAAAAAUCCGUUCCGACGCUGAUAAACAUGGACCCAAGGCAGACCCUGAACGUGUAGCAGUGCUCUCAUGCAAUCUGAAGUGGAGCCUGGUAUCUGACGACCACGCUGGGGGAGGCAGGGAGGAGAGCAGCAAGACCGUAAUGUGAAAGUCCAUAUAAGGCUGCAGGCGAGGAAAUUACCAGAAGGAACUGAUGUAAGUGCAGAAAUCUUGAGUCACAACAUGGCUUCCUUGGGAAACCGGGGCAGUGCCAAGAGGAGUCUGGCCAAAGGCAGAGUUUCUCAAUAAUUACUGCUUUUGUGAGCCAUCAAGGUUUUGUAUUCCCCUCAAACACUGAAUAAAUAAUCUAUGUUUGAAAAAGCCAGGGAACCGAAUCAGUUGAUGGAAAAAAAAGAAGUAUUUUUAAUCUAUGACUCUUUUUACCCCCCGAGAGAAGCUUGUUCAAACCUCAAAGUGGAAACACUACUUUCUCUGGGUAUUUGCUGAAUCAGUGUGUCUAGCUUCCUUUUCUCACACGCCGUGUCCUCUGCACGUUCACAUGGCGGCGAGCUUUACCUAAUGAAGCAAACUGUGUGUCGCAAUAACAGGUCCACCAGUUGCACUUAUCUUGGAAAGAAAUAACUUUGCGACCUAGUAGUCUAAUGCAUUUCGGCUUUUCUGCAUCCGCACUAAAGGAACAAAAUACUGUCUACACACAUCGCUCCCUAUAGUUCAUAUUUUUCCUUACUUUGAGCACAUAACAUGUUGCUUAUUAAUGAAUAUAAGCCUCACUGUCUAUCCUAUCCCACAAUACUAUGGUCACAAUCCUUUGACCAUGUAUUCUUUCCAAUACCAGUUUCCCCUUUUCUAACCCUUUAACAUGUACGACGGAGCUGCACCCGCGCCGCAGAGCACCUGUGCUUGUGAACUGAUCCUGACGGGCAAACAGCUUCUGUUCUAAUCAAAUCAAAAAUAACCCUUCGUCUAUACAGCUCCUUUUGUGCCAAGAUGCAAUACAAGAUGCUUAACAAAACAGUCGAAAUACACCUAUAUAAAAUAAAAUGCAACACUGCUGCGAUAAAAUAAUUUCCAAUAAAAUGAGUUGAGAGAAUGCUAAACUAAAGAGGUUAGCUUUGAGGUCCCCAGGUGUUACUGCAGUACUCGGUUACUGUUACUGCAGUAUUCUGCUGUACCUAAAGUACUGUAGGCAGCUACUCCUGUGUUGUUUACAGUAACAGCAUCUCAGCUGCGCUGAUCAGAGAUUUGGCACAAACACUGACACUAAGUGGAGGACUAUAAAUAUGUGUCAAGAUGAUAAUAAACACUUGCAGUGGAAAACUUGCAGUAGUAAAGAGUCCCUUUACUAGAAACAGGAUGUGAACCUUCUAUAAUUCUGAUCAAUGAUGUGUCACAUGGUGUUUUUCUUGUUUUGUUGUAAAAAAAAAAAAAAUUGCACUUAAAACUUAAAAUAUAAAAUUGCCAAUUCAUCGCUAAUAAGUAACUACUUAAUAAUCCAGUUGUGUCCAAAAUAUUUACUAGGAAAAAUCCCACAAUAGAAUCACCGAAAACUAUAUAUUACAACGCUGAUACGAUUAGAGGAAUUCCUUUGGGGAAGACAAGGGCACUAAAGACGUUUAAAUGCCAGGAUGCUGGAACAUAUUUCUGGUUGACAGCUGGAAAAAGAAUGUGGAGGAAGUACAGUACUGGCAGAAACAAUACUGCAGGAAGAGAACAGGUACAACCCUCGGUACAUUCUAUUUUUCUCUGUGUAAUUUUGGAAGUGUAGGAGUUCACGAGUCCAUUGUCAUAUGUAAAGCCAAUAGUGAUACAUGUGCAUGUAUUUCAAUAAUGUAUUACUACACUCAUAUUUAAUGAGUUUAAGAUAAGUGCUGAAAAAGAGUCGUUUUUUAUAAUGUGGGGGUAAUUUAUGAACCUAAAGCAUGCACCCUGGGAAGAAAUCAGAGAAGGUAUUUUAUAAUAUACUACUAUUGGAAUCACCGUUCUUAUCCACGUCAAUGUCUUUGUGCGUGGAUCACAUCUCCUCUCCAGGGCCCCAGAAGUGGCUCUUUCUGUACCGGAGCGUCCCCCUUUCCAUUAUCAGACCGUGCCUUGUGUUGGUGUAUCGCAGCUGAGAUUUGGAGCUACUGUGCACAGACACCCACAGACUGACCGCACACAGAUUUCCACUGGUCCAACCCAAUAAAGCAGGACGCUGAGUCAAAGAAGCCAAAACUCACAGCCCUCGUCUGGGGGGGGGGGGGGGCAAACAGAGGAGCAGAAGGGGGGUUCUUGAAACCACUUUUACCUUCCUUCGCCGCUGAUGAAAAAAACCCUGAGCUGAAAUGUUGGGCCCUUGGUGAAUCCUGAGUUAUUUUCAAUAUAAAGCCUGUGCCCGUGCCGCCCCCCCCCCCCCCCCC
Long non-coding RNA from Scophthalmus maximus (turbot), 3959 nucleotides. RefSeq lists it as uncharacterized. Lineage: Eukaryota; Metazoa; Chordata; Actinopteri; Pleuronectiformes; Scophthalmidae. The transcript has 3 exons. The record is from RefSeq and is a predicted model, not a curated record.